Homo sapiens (human) is the source of this 618-nucleotide long non-coding RNA. Ensembl annotates it as PCGF3 antisense RNA 1. Its record names the gene PCGF3-AS1. Lineage: Eukaryota; Metazoa; Chordata; Mammalia; Primates; Hominidae. The record is from Ensembl.
AUUGCAAGCCUCUGCAGAGGCGCUGGAGCUGGGUCAGUCCGCCGCUCACCCCGCGGCCGCACCUUCCCGCCUUCUCAGCUUACAUGGCGUCUUCAACAAAAAGUAAUUGUUUAGAGAAGUGACAAGAUGAAGGAGGACUCUGAGUCCUAGUCUCCCUCCUCGAGUCCCUGUGUGAGCAGAGGUAAACAAUGAAAACUCACCAACCAGGAGAAAUUCACCUAGGACUGGCGCAGAAGGUAUACACCAUGAGCCUGGAAAUGAUUUAAAAAACAACACAGGCUGGGCGCGGUGGCUCACACCUAUAAUCCCAGCACUUUGGGAGGCAGAGGCGGGCGGAUCACUUGAGGUUUGCGAGUUGGAAACCAGUCUGACCAACGUGGAGAAACCCCGUCUUUACUAAAAAUACAAAAUUAGCCAGGUGUGGUGGCGCAUGUCUGUAAUCCCAGCUACUGGGGAAGCUGAGGCAGGAGAAUCCCUUGAACCUGAGAGAUGGAGGUUGAUGUGAGCUGAGAUCACACAAUUGCAGUCCAGCCUGGGCAGCAAGAGUGAAACUCCAUCUCAAAAAAACAAAAAAAACAACCCACAACUGUGGGCCAAAGGGACACAGCGACAAGGGGU